UUUCAUUUCUUUCUCUUCCAGCUGAAUUAAAGAAGAAAACAUGCAAAUCAACUCGAAGAUCAAUCAAAUCCCUCUUUGAGGCUUCAGAUGCAGAGGAACACCAAUCUAAUGAAUCUAUUGAUGAAAACUUCACUUCAGACACAGAGAGACACAGCUCAUCUACAUCGAACUCCUAAUUGGACAUAAUUGGUCUUCAUAUGUAAGGAAGGAGCUUUGAAAGAAGCAGAAUACAGUAAAAAAAAAAAUUCUUUGAAAGCAAAGUGCAGCAACAGAAGUAGUUUCUGAUCAAGUAUCUGAUAAGAUGCAAUAAUCAUACUACCAAAGUACUUUUGCAAGUUUUUCUGAUACCAAUUCUUUACAUUUUAAUUUUAUUAUUAUUAUUUUUGUUUCUCUUUUUCUGUAAUGUAGGAUGUAAUUGUUCAUGGGCUCUUUAUAAAUUUAUCAGAAUUUUUA
This is a long non-coding RNA of Dendrobium catenatum, 453 nucleotides long. RefSeq lists it as uncharacterized. The record is from RefSeq and is a predicted model, not a curated record. NCBI's taxonomy places the organism in Eukaryota, Viridiplantae, Streptophyta, Magnoliopsida, Asparagales, Orchidaceae. The transcript is spliced from 2 exons.